Molecule: ribosomal RNA, 253 nt
Filed under: uncultured bacterium
Lineage: Bacteria
Description: partial 16S ribosomal RNA
Rfam family: Bacterial small subunit ribosomal RNA
Source: RNAcentral
UACGUAGGGGGCCAGCGUUGCUCGGAAUUACUGGGCGUAAAGGGUCCGUAGGCGGUGCGGCAAGUCGAUAGUGAAAUCUCUGGGCUUAACCCAGAGGCUGCUAACGAAACUGCCGUGCUAGAGUGUGAGAGAGGCGAGUGGAAUUACGGGUGUAGCGGUGAAAUGCGUAGAUAUCCGUAGGAACAUCCGAGGCGAAAGCGGCUCGCUGGAUCACAACUGACGCUGAGGGACGAAAGCUAGGGGAGCAAACAGG